GGCGGUGUAGCUCAGUUGGUUAGAGCAGAGGUUUCAUAAGCCUCCUGUCCGGGGUUCGACUCCCUGCACCGCCACUA
Molecule: transfer RNA, 77 nt
Filed under: Nitrospirae bacterium RIFCSPHIGHO2_02_FULL_42_12
Lineage: Bacteria; Pseudomonadati; Nitrospirota
Also listed under: 2 other names
Description: tRNA-Met
Rfam family: tRNA
About the family: Transfer RNA (tRNA) molecules are approximately 80 nucleotides in length. Their secondary structure includes four short double-helical elements and three loops (D, anti-codon, and T loops).
Source: RNAcentral